AUUGAACGCUGGCGGCAGGCCUAACACAUGCAAGUCGAGCGGCAGCGGAAAGUAGCUUGCUACUUUGCCGGCGAGCGGCGGACGGGUGAGUAAUGUCUGGGAAACUGCCUGAUGGAGGGGGAUAACUACUGGAAACGGUAGCUAAUACCGCAUGACCUCGAAAGAGCAAAGUGGGGGAUCUUCGGACCUCACGCCAUCGGAUGUGCCCAGAUGGGAUUAGCUAGUAGGUGAGGUAAUGGCUCACCUAGGCGACGAUCCCUAGCUGGUCUGAGAGGAUGACCAGCCACACUGGAACUGAGACACGGUCCAGACUCCUACGGGAGGCAGCAGUGGGGAAUAUUGCACAAUGGGCGCAAGCCUGAUGCAGCCAUGCCGCGUGUGUGAAGAAGGCCUUAGGGUUGUAAAGCACUUUCAGCGAGGAGGAAGGCAUCAUACUUAAUACGUGUGGUGAUUGACGUUACUCGCAGAAGAAGCACCGGCUAACUCCGUGCCAGCAGCCGCGGCAAUACGGAGGGUGCAAGCGUUAAUCGGAAUUACUGGGCGUAAAGCGCACGCAGGCGGUUUGUUAAGUCAGAUGUGAAAUCCCCGCGCUUAACGUGGGAACUGCAUUUGAAACUGGCAAGCUAGAGUCUUGUAGAGGGGGGUAGAAUUCCAGGUGUAGCGGUGAAAUGCGUAGAGAUCUGGAGGAAUACCGGUGGCGAAGGCGGCCCCCUGGACAAAGACUGACGCUCAAUGCGAAAGCGUGGGGAGCAAACAGG
RNAcentral lists this ribosomal RNA (758 nucleotides) under uncultured Enterobacteriaceae bacterium. Its description in RNAcentral is "bacterial SSU rRNA". It matches the Rfam family "Bacterial small subunit ribosomal RNA", at positions 28 to 776 of the family's 1533-position model. The record is from RNAcentral. Lineage: Bacteria; Pseudomonadati; Pseudomonadota; Gammaproteobacteria; Enterobacterales; Enterobacteriaceae.